AACUAAGUUUAUUAUUGGUAUGAGCUUUCGUGUGCAUGCACACUGCUUCAGAUUCAUAAUUCUUCAGAUUGGUAUCUGAAGACGUGUGCAUGCACACGAAAGCUCAUAUCAAUAACAAACUUAGUUGG
This 128-nucleotide microRNA precursor is filed under the name Podarcis lilfordi (Lilford's wall lizard). The record is from RNAcentral. Lineage: Eukaryota; Metazoa; Chordata; Lepidosauria; Squamata; Lacertidae.